CUUAAUACCUAUUUACAGUUUAACAUAUAGAACUUUAGUAGUCUAAUGCUAAAAAAUUUAAAAUCACCUACCAUCAUGUCAAAUUUGUUCAUAAACACAAGCAACCUAUAUACAUGCUCCUAACCAAUCACUUGUAUUUCUACAAGCUCAAGCACACCAAAAGAUAAGAAAAUUAAAAAAAAAAAACAAAUUUCUUAUAUUACCC
Molecule: long non-coding RNA, 205 nt
Filed under: Gossypium raimondii (Peruvian cotton)
Lineage: Eukaryota; Viridiplantae; Streptophyta; Magnoliopsida; Malvales; Malvaceae
Description: long non-coding RNA (GRAI_LNC010823)
Source: RNAcentral